GGUGAAGAACGCAGCGAAAUGCGAUAAGUAAUGUGAAUUGCAGAAUUCAGUGAAUCAUCGAAUCUUUGAACGCACCUUGCGCCCUUUGGCUAUUCCGAAGGGCAUGCCUGUUUGAGUAUCAUGAACACCUCAACUCUCAUGGCUUGCCAUGAAGAGCUUGGACUAUGGGGGUCUUGCUGGCCUGUGGUCGGCUCCUCUCAAAUGAAUCAGCUUGCCGGUGUUUGGUGGCGUCACAGGUGUGAUAACUAUCUACGCUUGUGGUGUUUUCCACCAGGUAACCUUCAGCAAUGGAGGUUCGCUGGGGCUCAUAAAAGUCUCUCCUCGGUGAGGACAGCUCUUUUGAACGUUUGAUCUCAAAUCAGGUAGGACUACCCGCUGAACUUAAGCAUAUCAAUAAGCGGAGGA
Molecule: unclassified non-coding RNA, 405 nt
Filed under: soil metagenome
Description: partial contains 5.8S ribosomal RNA, internal transcribed spacer 2, and large subunit ribosomal RNA
Rfam family: 5.8S ribosomal RNA (bases 3-121)
Source: RNAcentral